CCGAUUGUCCAUGGCAGUGUCCCCCGUGUGCCACCGAGCUCUGGGGACCGUCAGAGCAGCAGUUUCAAACUGCCCCCCAUUCAGGAUUCUCUCCGGAACAAGGCAUUUCUGCAGGGACUCGUCACCCUUCCCAACAAGCCCAGAGUGAGCCAGCUGCUGGGCAGGGGUGGACACAUCCCGAGGGGCUGCAAUGACCAGCUUCCUGUGCUGACCAGGACACUGGAUGAGCCAGGCCCUGCCACCUCUCGGGACCACCGGCCAGGCACUGCCCCCCGACACAUCUCCAGGGCACCAGGGCUCCUCCUGCCAGCCCAGCCCCGUCAGAUUUCGACAGCCCUCAAGUAGCCGGACAGGACUGGGAACCCAGUGCUCCACCAGAGACGUCUUCUCAGCAGACAGAGAAGUCUGCAACAAUUAUUGUCAGUUAAAUCA
This is a non-coding RNA of Taeniopygia guttata (zebra finch), 432 nucleotides long. NCBI's taxonomy places the organism in Eukaryota, Metazoa, Chordata, Aves, Passeriformes, Estrildidae. The record is from RefSeq and is a predicted model, not a curated record.